RNAcentral lists this long non-coding RNA (2067 nucleotides) under Homo sapiens (human). Its description in RNAcentral is "HSALNT0182279". The record is from RNAcentral. Lineage: Eukaryota; Metazoa; Chordata; Mammalia; Primates; Hominidae.
CCGCCGCUGCCGCCAGGUCCCGCUCGGUUCGGCGCGGCGCCGUCACGUGUGAGGCUCGCAGCGCGUCCCUUUCGCGCACUUUCUGCGCUCGGCGGCCUCGGCGGCGACUCCGGCCCCUCCCUGGCGCGGGGAUGGGGAAGUUAAGGCAGCGAGCGCCGGUGGGGGUGCGUCCCUUCCCUGGCGGGCACACCUCCUUGUUCUCCCUGCAGGAAUGAAGAGUUGCAUGGGGCUCGCUCGUUUUCUCUGGAGUUAGUUGCGUCCUAUACAGGGUCGUGUCGAGGUCGUCCUAAACCGUGGCCACUUUCCUGAGUGCACAGCCCGCAGUAGCGCCACAAGACCACCUCCCCCCGGCCCCGGCCUCAUCCCCACCUCCAGGGAAGAGUCCAGAGCCACAGAAUUAGCUCCUAGAACGCAACCAACAAGAGUCCAGAUGAACCCGCUCUAUUGGGAAACUCACAGUUUUUCAUCUACUCUGGGCACCACAACGUAUUUGCAGGGGCCACAGCAAAAACUACCCUUGAUCAAGCUACGUGCCCCAGCCUGAAGCACAGCAAAUAAACAUCCUGCACAGAGGCAGUAAAAACAAGGGUACAUCUGACAAAGAAUGCACCACACCUGGACAAUUAUUACACAGCUAUACAGGGUGUGCUUGCACGCACGCAUGAAUACCUGUGCGUGGCACAGGGCCCCAGCGGCGGCUUGCUUAUGAUCCCUCCAAGGUGACCAAGCACUGAGCCACCCUGCCUCAGCAGUAAAAUAGACAUAUUUACCAGUCCCUUCAACCCACAGCCAGGAGCUAGGCAAACACCCACAGAGGAGGGAGGACACACUUUAACCCUACAUUCAGCUUGACGAGCCAAACUCUCUGAACCACAGGAGAUAAAACUUCUGCCAUGGAACUGCUAAGGUAGAUAAUCAGCAACCCCCCAAGACUGUGCCUGCUGCACAACUACAGAACGCAGUGGAAGACACGCUGAAUUCUGAGUCAGAAGGUUGACUUUCUAGCUGUGGGGACUUGGCCAAACCUCCUCAGAGCUUCAGUUUUCUCAUCUGUAAAAUAGAGAUCUUAAUCCCUACCAAUCUCACAGGACUGCUGAGAGUAUCAGAUGAGAGUGCAAGAGGAAAAUCAUUCUGGAUUUUAGAGAAGAAAAUCCAAGACAAGAAACAGAGGUAGCAAGAGAGAGAUGUCACUGGUGCACCACUAAAGAAAAACCUCAAGCUGCCAACGUCAGCUCUACAGAGAAAUGGGGACUGAAACCAAAGAGAGGGAUUUCAGACCUGUGUCAGCUGAAAUCUAAAAUGCAGUCAUUCAUUUAGACAAUAGCUAGGAAGUUAUUUUUAUGUAUCAGUGACUUUGAAAAUGCAAUAUCAAUCAUGGUGUUAUUUCUCUUGGACCUGGGGCGAAAGGACUCAAGUGGAAGGUUCCCAUUACCACAGCGGUAUUUCAGGGAGUGAGGAAUUUGGGAGGGAGGAAAAACAGUAUGUCCCUCAUCUGGGGAUUUUCUCUCCUCAUAACUGAUCUUUUAAAAUCCUUUAUGUAGGGAUUUUGCAAACUGACUAUGAAAAGGAAAGCCCCACUAUCUCUUACUGUGCCAUCAACUCACACUGUAAAAGGAGCAAAAAGUGUUUUAAAAGCCAAUUUGACCAGAGCUGACUUAUUUUACUUUGUUUAUCGACAGAUGUCAAUAUCUUUAUAUUUCUUAUCUCCCCAGUGGACUGUAAGCUUCGGGAAAGGCAAUAGCUCUGGAAUAGUUACUGCGCUACUGGAGUAGUGCCCAUCAGACUGUGUGUAAAUGAGACUUGGCUGUCAGUCACCCUGGGAGGCGAUGCACAUUCAUUCUCAGGAUGCUGCUAUUGCUCAACUGAUUUUUAGAACUCUGAGAGGGAAGAAUUUUCUAACCCUUUCCAUUUGCCUUUAGAAUUGGUUCAUAUGUCACCCCAAAAUCAAUUUUUUAUACUUUAUAAUCAUCAUAUUCCUUUUUUUUUUUGAGAUAGAGUCUUGCUUUAUUGCCCAGGCUGGAGUGCAGUGGCGCGAUGUGGGCUCACUGCAACCUCCGCCUCCUGGGU